RNAcentral lists this ribosomal RNA (253 nucleotides) under uncultured bacterium. Its description in RNAcentral is "partial 16S ribosomal RNA". It matches the Rfam family "Bacterial small subunit ribosomal RNA", at positions 524 to 776 of the family's 1533-position model. The record is from RNAcentral.
UACAGAGGGGGCAAGCGUUAUUCGGAAUUAUUGGGCGUAAAGGGCGCGUAGGCGGCCUGGCAAGUGGAAGGUGAAAUCCCUCGGCUUAACCGAGGAACUGCCUCCCAAACUGCUUGGCUUGAGACCGGGAGAGGCGAGUGGAAUUCCCAGUGUAGCGGUGAAAUGCGUAGAUAUUGGGAGGAACACCAGUGGCGAAGGCGGCUCACUGGACCGGUACUGACGCUGAUGCGCGAAAGCGUGGGGAGCAAACGGG